AUGGUGAUAGUCACUGAUCGAGAUCCUAUCUUCACAAGCACUUUGUGGCAAGAGCUGUGCAAAUUAACUGACACAAAAAUGAAUAUGAGUUUUGCAAGUCAUCCAGAAACUAAUGGUCAGUCUGAGAAACUCAACCAGUGUUUGGAAACAUUUCUCCGGUGCAUGGUACACUCUGCCCCAAAGAAAUGGGCUUAUUGGCUACCACAAGCAGAGUACUGGUACAACACUAACUACCACUCAGCGCUGGGCAAAACACCAUUUCAAGUCCUCUAUGGAUAUCAACCCAGACACUUGGGUGUUGCAAAUCUUCAGAGCUCGCUAUCAUCUGAUCUGUCAGGCUGGUUAGCGGAACGCAACCUGAUGCAAGGCCUGAUUAGGGAGCACCUGUUGCGUGCUCAACAGCGCAUGAAAGCACAAGAGGAUAAACACCGGUCAGAUCGGCAGUUUGCAGUAGGGGAAUGGGCAUACCUAAAACUUCAGCCCUAUGUGCAACAGUCAGUAGUCCGAAGAUCCAAUCACAAGCUCGGAUUCAAAUACUUUGGCCCUUACCAGAUUUUGGAAAAAGUGGGUGAAGUGGCUUACCGGCUUGCCCAGCCAGCGUCCAGCAAGAUACAUCCAGUGGUACACGUCUCGUUGCUGAAACCAGCACAACCUCCAGUGCAGAAUGACAGCACCACUGAUCUGGCUGCCCUUCAAAUCUCAACACUGCUGAAUCUGGUUCAGGUAUUAUAG
RNAcentral lists this ribosomal RNA (732 nucleotides) under Triticum aestivum (bread wheat). RNAcentral's name for it is "partial small subunit ribosomal RNA". Lineage: Eukaryota; Viridiplantae; Streptophyta; Magnoliopsida; Poales; Poaceae. The record is from RNAcentral.